RNAcentral lists this ribosomal RNA (460 nucleotides) under uncultured bacterium. RNAcentral describes it as "partial 16S ribosomal RNA". It matches the Rfam family "Bacterial small subunit ribosomal RNA", at positions 338 to 795 of the family's 1533-position model. The record is from RNAcentral.
CCUACGGGAGGCAGCAGUGAGGAAUAUUGGUCAAUGGACGAGAGUCUGAACCAGCCAAGUAGCGUGAAGGAUGACUGCCCUAUGGGUUGUAAACUUCUUUUAUCUGGGAAUAAAAUGUUCCACGUGUGGGAUUUUGUAUGUACCAUAUGAAUAAGGAUCGGCUAACUCCGUGCCAGCAGCCGCGGUAAUACGGAGGAUCCGAGCGUUAUCCGGAUUUAUUGGGUUUAAAGGGAGCGUAGGUGGAUUGUUAAGUCAGUUGUGAAAGUUUGCGGCUCAACCGUAAAAUUGCAGUUGAAACUGGCAGUCUUGAGUACAGGAGAGGUGGGCGGAAUGCGGGGUGUAGCGGUGAAAUGCUUAGAUAUCACGAAGAACUCCGAUUGCGAAGGCAGUUCACUGGACUGCAACUGACACUGAGGCUCGAAAGUGUGGGUAUCAAACAGGAUUAGAGACCCUGGUAGUC